UGCGAUGAUGAUUGAAUAUAAUCUCGUUAAUCCGAGUUAUUAAGCUGCGGAUAUUUUUCAAUUCCAUUCUUAAUUACCUCUGAGC
This is a non-coding RNA of Spinacia oleracea (spinach), 85 nucleotides long. The record is from Rfam. Lineage: Eukaryota; Viridiplantae; Streptophyta; Magnoliopsida; Caryophyllales; Amaranthaceae.